This 249-nucleotide long non-coding RNA is filed under the name Prunus persica (peach). RNAcentral's name for it is "long non-coding RNA (PPER_LNC003857)". The record is from RNAcentral. Lineage: Eukaryota; Viridiplantae; Streptophyta; Magnoliopsida; Rosales; Rosaceae.
GAGAAUUAAUCAAGGCACCCACCAUUGAAUGGCAAACCGUGUAAUCCCAGCAGCAUCAAAACUCCUGAAAACUCUCAGGCCACUCAACUCCGCCGCCUCCUCUACCACCAUCUCCGCCAUAUCACCGCCAAUCGGCUACGCCGAAAAACCGCUACAAUCUCCCAGUGGUCACGCCAUCACCGCCGCCGACACCAUCACCGACAACAUAUUCAACCUCGAUGACGUGGACAAGCUAUUCGCCUCUGUCUC